GGGCUGGGGCUCAGUGGUAGAGUGCUUACCUGGCAUGUGUGAGGCACUGAGUUCGAUUCUCAGCACCACA
RNAcentral lists this transfer RNA (70 nucleotides) under Marmota monax (woodchuck). RNAcentral's name for it is "tRNA.Ala". The stretch from base 5 to 65 matches the Rfam family "tRNA", at positions 6 to 65 of the family's 71-position model. Rfam says of the family: Transfer RNA (tRNA) molecules are approximately 80 nucleotides in length. Their secondary structure includes four short double-helical elements and three loops (D, anti-codon, and T loops). Further hydrogen bonds mediate the characteristic L-shaped molecular structure. tRNAs have two regions of fundamental functional importance: the anti-codon, which is responsible for specific mRNA codon recognition, and the 3' end, to which the tRNAs corresponding amino acid is attached (by aminoacyl-tRNA synthetases). tRNAs cope with the degeneracy of the genetic code in two manners: having more than one tRNA (with a specific anti-codon) for a particular amino acid; and 'wobble' base-pairing, i.e. permitting non-standard base-pairing at the 3rd anti-codon position. The record is from RNAcentral. Lineage: Eukaryota; Metazoa; Chordata; Mammalia; Rodentia; Sciuridae.